Long non-coding RNA from Ipomoea nil (Japanese morning glory), 96 nucleotides. RefSeq lists it as uncharacterized. Lineage: Eukaryota; Viridiplantae; Streptophyta; Magnoliopsida; Solanales; Convolvulaceae. The transcript has 3 exons. The record is from RefSeq and is a predicted model, not a curated record.
GUAGUAUUUGACUAAAUACUUGUUAAAACUUGUGAUAUUAAUGUAAAAAUAUUUGGAAUUGUAAGUAGCUACUACUUUUUGAAAUGUAAAGUAGCA